Molecule: transfer RNA, 69 nt
Filed under: Tuxedo susansolomonae
Lineage: Eukaryota; Metazoa; Arthropoda; Insecta; Hemiptera; Miridae
Also listed under: 1 other name
Description: tRNA-Ser
Rfam family: tRNA
About the family: Transfer RNA (tRNA) molecules are approximately 80 nucleotides in length.
Source: RNAcentral
AGUUAAAAAGCUUCAAGAAAGCAUGUAUUUUGAAAAUACAAGAUAAAGGUUAAAUUCCUUUAUUAACUU